This 1089-nucleotide ribosomal RNA is filed under the name uncultured Basidiomycota. RNAcentral describes it as "eukaryotic LSU rRNA". The stretch from base 655 to 1089 matches the Rfam family "Eukaryotic large subunit ribosomal RNA", at positions 1 to 429 of the family's 3401-position model. Lineage: Eukaryota; Fungi; Basidiomycota. The record is from RNAcentral.
CUUGGUCAUUUAGAGGAAGUAAAAGUCGUAACAAGGUUUCCGUAGGUGAACCUGCGGAAGGAUCAUUAUUGAAUAAACUUGGUUAGGUUGUUGCUGGCUCUUAGGAGCAUGUGCACGCCGACUCCAUCUUUAACCACCUGUGCACCUUGCGUAGAUCUGAUAAUCUCGAGGAAACUCGGUUUGAGAAUUGCUGUGCAAACAGCUCUUCUUGUAAUCAGGUCUAUGUUUCUAUAUAUACCCCACACGAAUGUAUUUUGAAUGUCAUAAUUGGCCUUUGUGCCUUUAAAAACAAAUACAACUUUCAACAACGGAUCUCUUGGCUCUCGCAUCGAUGAAGAACGCAGCGAAAUGCGAUAAGUAAUGUGAAUUGCAGAAUUCAGUGAAUCAUCGAAUCUUUGAACGCACCUUGCGCUCCUUGGUAUUCCGAGGAGCAUGCCUGUUUGAGUGUCAUGAAAUUCUCAACCUUUCUAGUUUUUCAACUAGUUAGGCUUGGAUUUUGGAAGUUGCUGGCUCGUUCAGCUCUUCUUAAAUAUAUUAGCAAAGAUCUUUGCUGCUCAUCAUUGGUAUGAUAAUUAUCUAUAUCAUUGAUAAACAGUGUCCUUCACGGGAGAGCUCUUGCUUCUAAUCGUCUUUUUAAGACAAUUUGAUAACUUUUGACCUCAAAUCAGGUAGGACUACCCGCUGAACUUAAGCAUAUCAAUAAGCGGAGGAAAAGAAACUAACAAGGAUUCCCCUAGUAACUGCGAGUGAAGCGGGAAAAGCUCAAAUUUAAAAUCUGGUAGUCUUUGGCUGCCCGAGUUGUAAUCUAGAGAAGCGUUAUCCGCGCUGGACCGUGUGUAAGUCUCCUGGAAUGGAGCGUCAUAGAGGGUGAGAAUCCCGUCUUUAACACGGACUACCAGGGCUUUGUGAUGCGCUCUCAAAGAGUCGAGUUGUUUGGGAAUGCAGCUCUAAAUGGGUGGUAAAUUCCAUCUAAAGCUAAAUAUUGGCGAGAGACCGAUAGCGAACAAGUACCGUGAGGGAAAGAUGAAAAGAACUUUGGAAAGAGAGUUAAACAGUACGUGAAAUUGUUGAAAGGGAAACGCUUGAAGU